GCGGAAGUGGUGAAAUUGGUAUACACGCUAUCUUGAGGGGGUAGUGCCCGGUAGGGCGUACGGGUUCAAGUCCCGUCUUCCGCA
This 84-nucleotide transfer RNA is filed under the name Ignavibacteria bacterium. RNAcentral's name for it is "tRNA-Leu". It matches the Rfam family "tRNA". Rfam says of the family: Transfer RNA (tRNA) molecules are approximately 80 nucleotides in length. Their secondary structure includes four short double-helical elements and three loops (D, anti-codon, and T loops). Further hydrogen bonds mediate the characteristic L-shaped molecular structure. tRNAs have two regions of fundamental functional importance: the anti-codon, which is responsible for specific mRNA codon recognition, and the 3' end, to which the tRNAs corresponding amino acid is attached (by aminoacyl-tRNA synthetases). tRNAs cope with the degeneracy of the genetic code in two manners: having more than one tRNA (with a specific anti-codon) for a particular amino acid; and 'wobble' base-pairing, i.e. permitting non-standard base-pairing at the 3rd anti-codon position. Lineage: Bacteria; Pseudomonadati; Ignavibacteriota; Ignavibacteria. The record is from RNAcentral.